Molecule: ribosomal RNA, 253 nt
Filed under: uncultured bacterium
Lineage: Bacteria
Description: partial 16S ribosomal RNA
Rfam family: Bacterial small subunit ribosomal RNA
Source: RNAcentral
UACGAAGGGGGCUAGCGUUGUUCGGAAUUACUGGGCGUAAAGCGUGCGCAGGCGGCUGCUCAAGUCAGGGGUGAAAGCCCAGAGCUCAACUCUGGAACUGCCUUUGAGACUGAGUGGCUUGAGUACGGGAGAGGUGAGUGGAAUUCCCAGUGUAGAGGUGAAAUUCGUAGAUAUUGGGAAGAACACCAGUGGCGAAGGCGGCUUUCUGGCCUGUUCUUGACGCUGAGGCGCGAAAGCUAGGGUAGCAAACGGG